UGCAAUUAAACCUCUAAUCGAUUGAGAUAAUAACAAAUUUAGCCCUCAACUUUUAUUUAUUAUAUCGAUUUAGUCAUAAUUUUUUUUAAAAAAUAACCUUCAAAAUUUAUAAAUAUUCUCAAUUUGAUCCUCAAAAUCUACCGUCCUAUUCCGCUUCUCUGACUGUCACUAUCAUAGUUACCUCCACCUCCUCCUCCACCUUUCUGAAAAAAAGAAAUUAAAAAAAAAGCUUCCCUUUUCCCUUUCUAUUCCCCACCCCCCCCC
This 264-nucleotide long non-coding RNA is filed under the name Gossypium raimondii (Peruvian cotton). Its description in RNAcentral is "long non-coding RNA (GRAI_LNC002749)". The record is from RNAcentral. Lineage: Eukaryota; Viridiplantae; Streptophyta; Magnoliopsida; Malvales; Malvaceae.